Molecule: long non-coding RNA, 158 nt
Organism: Telopea speciosissima
Lineage: Eukaryota; Viridiplantae; Streptophyta; Magnoliopsida; Proteales; Proteaceae
Exons: 3
Source: RefSeq, a predicted model, not a curated record
ACGUAUCUAUUACGAAAUCUUUCAAGGGUAGCUGCUUCUAGGCAAACCUCCUGGCUGUCUCUGCACUUCUACCUCCUUUAUCACUGAGCGAUCAUUUAGGAGCCUUAGCUUGUGAUCCGAGCUGUUUCCCUCUCGACGAUGAAGCUUAUCUGGGAGUA